CACGGGGGGAGCAAGCGUUGUUCGGAAUCACUGGGCGUAAAGGGCGUGUAGGCGGUUUGGUAAGUGGAAUGUGAAAUCCCUCGGCUUACCCGAGGACCUGCAUCCCAUACUGCCAAGCUUGAGUACGGGAGAGGAUGAGGGAAUUCCUGGUGUAGCGGUGAAAUGCGUAGAUAUCAGGAGGAACACCAAUGGCGAAGGCAGCUCGCUGGGACGGUACUGACGCUGAGACGCGAAAGCGUGGGGAGCAAACAGG
Molecule: ribosomal RNA, 253 nt
Filed under: uncultured bacterium
Lineage: Bacteria
Description: partial 16S ribosomal RNA
Rfam family: Bacterial small subunit ribosomal RNA
Source: RNAcentral